UGCCAGAGUCGUCUGCGCGAAAAUGGCGGAAUACUUGGCCUCCAUCUUCGGCACCGAAAAAGACAAAGUCAACUGUUCAUUUUAUUUCAAAAUCGGAGCAUGUCGUCAUGGAGACGGUUGCACAAUAAACCGACCUUUAGCCAGACCAUUGCCCUCUUGAACAUUUACCGUAACCCUCAAAACUCUUCCCAGUCCGCUGACGGUUUGCGCUGUGCUGUGAGCGACGUGGAGAUGCAGGAGCACUAUGAUGAGUUCUUUGAGGAAGUCUUCACUGAGAUGGAAGAGAAGUACGGGGAAGUCGAGGAGAUGAACGUCUGCGACAACCUAGGGGACCACCUGGUGGGGAACGUGUAUGUCAAGUUUCGACGUGAGGAGGAUGCAGAGAAAGCCAUGAUCGACUUGAAUAACCGUUGGUUUAAUGGACAGCCGAUCCAUGCAGAGCUGUCCCCAGUAACUGACUUCAGGGAAGCCUGCUGCCGCCAGUAUGAAAUGGGAGAGUGCACAAGAGGGGGCUUCUGCAACUUCAUGCAUUUGAAGCCCAUCUCAAGAGAGCUACGACGGGAGCUGUAUGGGCGCCGGCGCAAGAAGCAUAGAUCCAGGUCCCGAUCCAGGGAAUGGCGUUCCCGAGCCAGAGACCGUGGGCGCGGUGGUAGAGGUAGAGGUGGAGGUGGAGGUGGCAGAGGACGGGAGCGUGACAGGAGGCAAUCAAGAGACUGGGAGAGAUCUGGACGAUUCUGAGCCGAGCCCUUUUUACCGUGUGUCUGCUAGACAGUGUUGUAGUUGGUUGACAAGCCAAUUCAUAAUGGGAUUUAAAAAAAAACAAAGAUGGUUUCUGAAUAAACUUUGUAGUGAU
Mus musculus (house mouse) is the source of this 853-nucleotide RNA transcript. It is a transcript of the gene named predicted gene 6978, with no coding region annotated. NCBI's taxonomy places the organism in Eukaryota, Metazoa, Chordata, Mammalia, Rodentia, Muridae. The transcript has a single exon. The record is from RefSeq and is a predicted model, not a curated record.